RNAcentral lists this long non-coding RNA (782 nucleotides) under Ananas comosus (pineapple). RNAcentral describes it as "long non-coding RNA (ACOM_LNC011373)". The record is from RNAcentral. Lineage: Eukaryota; Viridiplantae; Streptophyta; Magnoliopsida; Poales; Bromeliaceae.
CGCAGAAACCGAGUUCGCUCCAACAAUAGUGCAAUGAAAAGUGAAACAAAUGAAGCAAAUGAAAUAUGCGAAUGCGGUCCUUUAAAGAUAGAUCAGAUAGGCAAUUUUGCACUACUUGAAAGGACUUAAGUUUUCUUUUCUACAUUGACAACUAUUUGUCAUGCUGGGCCUAAUUAAAUUGACAAGUUUCCUAGGUUUGGUAGAUCUAUGGUUUAAAUAGUACAAAUUUGAUGGUUAUUGAUUGAUGGUAAUUGAUAUCUUGGUUAGAAAAGAGGCAGAGAUAAUGCUAGGAUGGGAUUUAGAUCUUUUGAUUUGGAAUAUUGGGUGUGUGACAAAGCCAAAGAAAAGGCCACAGAACCUUACAAGUUGUUCCAACAAGGAUCCCCACACCCAGUAUCACAUUCCAAGAUUGUGCAUCUGAAAGCAAGAGAAAACCUACCAAUCUCCACAUGUAAAAGGAGAAUUCAUUUUCAGAGAGGUCAUUAUGAGCUCCCUAUUGACCCUUUAUAUGCCUUGUUGUGACAGGAGCUGGGACAGGACCAUAUGACAAAAUUAAUUACAAUAAUUCAAAGUAGGAAAAUAUGGAUGAGUGGAGAUAAUGUUCAGUUUCCUAAAGUUGAAGCAAUAUUUUCAAAAAUGAAGGCCAUCUAUCUGUGACUACUUAGGAAGCUCUAGCUCACUGUGAUUUUCUGGGAAUUGUCAAUUCAGAAGAGGCCCCAGUCACUUAGUCAUAAAUAGGAGGGUGGUGCAGAUGGAUAUAGUGACUGGGGAACAUAACUUAU